GGGGAGAGUCUUAGAAUCCCCACGGGACGUCGUGUAAAUAGUGACUGCCUUUGGCCAGACAGCACGGUUUGUGAAUC
This 77-nucleotide non-coding RNA is filed under the name unclassified sequences. Its description in RNAcentral is "L13-Bacteroidia ribosomal protein leader". It matches the Rfam family "L13-Bacteroidia ribosomal protein leader". The record is from RNAcentral.